Deinococcus peraridilitoris DSM 19664 is the source of this 73-nucleotide transfer RNA. It matches the Rfam family "tRNA". From Rfam's summary of the family: Transfer RNA (tRNA) molecules are approximately 80 nucleotides in length. Their secondary structure includes four short double-helical elements and three loops (D, anti-codon, and T loops). Further hydrogen bonds mediate the characteristic L-shaped molecular structure. tRNAs have two regions of fundamental functional importance: the anti-codon, which is responsible for specific mRNA codon recognition, and the 3' end, to which the tRNAs corresponding amino acid is attached (by aminoacyl-tRNA synthetases). tRNAs cope with the degeneracy of the genetic code in two manners: having more than one tRNA (with a specific anti-codon) for a particular amino acid; and 'wobble' base-pairing, i.e. permitting non-standard base-pairing at the 3rd anti-codon position. The record is from Rfam. NCBI's taxonomy places the organism in Bacteria, Thermotogati, Deinococcota, Deinococci, Deinococcales, Deinococcaceae.
GCGGGAAUAGCUCAGUUGGUAGAGCACAACCUUGCCAAGGUUGGGGUCGAGAGUUCGAGUCUCUUUUCCCGCU